Long non-coding RNA from Rhinichthys klamathensis goyatoka, 370 nucleotides. RefSeq lists it as uncharacterized. Lineage: Eukaryota; Metazoa; Chordata; Actinopteri; Cypriniformes; Leuciscidae. The record is from RefSeq and is a predicted model, not a curated record. The transcript has 3 exons.
GACGACGUCUUCAGUAUGGCGUUGAGACUAAUUUUAGCACUAUUUCAGACAUUGACCUCGAUGCACUGAUUCGUUCGAUUAUCAGUCAAACACAUAAUGCUGGAGUCACACUUGUCCUCGGCAAUCUGAGAAGUAGAGGACUCUCUAUUCAAAGAAGGCUUGUCCGGGAGCGACUGGCAGUAGUUGACCCUGUUGGAACCAUGAUCCGUACAAGACAUGCAAUUAGGAGGAGAGUAUACAAUGUUAGAGGACCAAAUCAUCUAUGGCACAUUGAUUCGAACCACAAAUUAAUUGCAUGGAGAUUUGUGUUCCAUGGGUGCAUUGAUGGUUAUAGCCGGACUGUUAUUUACCUUGAGUGCUGUAGCAACAA